RNAcentral lists this ribosomal RNA (406 nucleotides) under uncultured bacterium. Its description in RNAcentral is "partial 16S ribosomal RNA". It matches the Rfam family "Bacterial small subunit ribosomal RNA", at positions 30 to 526 of the family's 1533-position model. The record is from RNAcentral.
AUUGAACGCUGGCGGCAGGCUUAACACAUGCAAGUCGAGCGAGCGGCGGACGGGUGAGUAAUGUCUGGGAAACUGCCUGAUGGAGGGGGAUAACUACUGGAAACGGUAGCUCAUACCGCAUACCAUCAGAUGUGCCCAGAUGGGAUUAGCUUGUAGGUGGGGUAAUGGAUCACCUAGGCGACGAUCCCUAGCUGGUCUGAGAGGAUGACCGUCCACACUUGACCGUAGACACGUUCCAGACUCCUACGGGAGGCAGCAGUGGGGAAUAUGGCACAAUGGGCGCAAGCCUGAGGCAGCCAUGCCGCGUGUAUGAAGAAGGCCUUCGGGUUGUAAAGUACUUUCAGCGGGGAGGCGUUACCCGCAGAAGAAGCACCGGCUAACUCCGUGCCAGCAGCCGCGGUAAUAC